Molecule: long non-coding RNA, 1539 nt
Organism: Rhineura floridana
Lineage: Eukaryota; Metazoa; Chordata; Lepidosauria; Squamata; Rhineuridae
Exons: 5
Source: RefSeq, a predicted model, not a curated record
UGGAUUUUCAGUUAAGCUCAGAGCAGGGUUAGCCUCUCUCCUGGUAAGAUGAUAAGAAGUUCUUAUUUUGUAUAUGAGGACACACCAUCCUCACAAGAAGAUAAUUAGUGAACUACGACAUUGACUACUUACACAAUUUGCAUUUUUUUCUGUGAAGCGAAGGUGAUUAUUGUCACAUUCCCAACAGAUGUUUAUGGGGAACUCAAGGCUGGCUGCUAACAUUUGAGUAUCUUAAAUAUCUGAAGAGAUUUUAUUGGCUUGCAGAAUUUGCAGUUCUAAAUGAGGUAGUCUGGAUAUGGUCUGAAGGCAUGAGGCCACCACCUUGCUGAAGCGAAGCAGGUCUGGGUCUGGUCAAUGCAUGGAUGAGAGACUGCCUAGGAACCACACGUAUGCCAUCUUGAGUUCCUUGAUGAAAGAAAGGUGUGACUGCUGAUGCUUAUGUAGCCAAAAUGGCACCACCCACAUACAAGAGGGAGUUAUCAGCAGUCUAAAUGCCGUCUGAGAUCUGCAGAAGUACACAAAAACUGGAGGAUAAAAAUCUAAGAAGGGGAAUCUGCAAAAACAGCCCAAUGAGAACUAAAUGUGCUCAGUGGCUACAAAAUGCUGGCUGACUGUUGGGGAGUGGGGGACAGUGAGAUUGGGUGAAAGAAGAACGGAACGGAGUAUCCGGAGGAAGAGAACGGCAGACUGAAUGGAACACUACACAGUAGCAGUCCAUGCUGCAAUAUCUUGUUGCAGUUCCCAUUUGUACAAGUAUUAAUUUUUAAAUUGUCUUUUACUAAAGGGGAAACAAGUCUAAAUUCAAAUAAUGUUGCAUUUAUAGGAAGGUCAACAAAAAUCUGUGUGGACAUUUGUAUUUCCACUUUGUAGAGUAUACUUUGGAUAAGACAACCACUUUCCUCAAAAAUUGUCAUAUUUAAAUGAAAAACCACUUCAGGAGAGAACCAUUCUGAAGAAUGGAGGAAGGGAGGUGCUUUUCAUGUCGUUUGCCCCUAAGUAUCCAUAUCAGUUGUUUUAUUUGGCCUAUUUAUAACAUAAACCUGAACUUCCUCCUGUAACUUGUCCCACUUCCCAGAUAUUCUUAUGGGUAGGAAAUCUUGCUGCUAGGCAACCUAGAUCUUUCCUCUUCCUUUAAUUUAAGCCCAUCUUGCUCUGCCCUCAGUGUUGUUGACAGAAAACAAUUAGUGGUUGUGAUUCAGACUUUAGGAACCUCUCUUAUUUUGGGAGAAGUUAAGUCUUUUUCCAAAUGGUGGUACACCUUCUGUCCCUUCUGAAUUUUCCAAUGGCUUUUGUGUUCCAAACAAUGACAGAUUUGGUUGUCCCCUCCUGAUAUGCCCUUCUUCGAUACAAAGUGUCCAAGAGUGACAAAAUGGAUGCAGUAUUCUUUUUUUUAUUUUAGUCACAGAGCUUAAUUUGUAAAAUGGGAGGUGGCAUAGAAGGAAAACCCCUAUCUAGAAGGAGCGGAUGGCUUUAUUUAUUUAGUUAUAUAAAGUAUUUUCAAAUCAAUGAAACACUGACAGUGGAAUUCCUGUCACUGCU